AUUGAACGCUGGCGGCAGGCCUAACACAUGCAAGUCGAGCGGAUGAAGGGAGCUUGCUCCUGGAUUCAGCGGCGGACGGGUGAGUAAUGCCUAGGAAUCUGCCUGGUAGUGGGGGAUAACGUCCGGAAACGGGCGCUAAUACCGCAUACGUCCUGAGGGAGAAAGUGGGGGAUCUUCGGACCUCACGCUAUCAGAUGAGCCUAGGUCGGAUUAGCUAGUUGGCGGGGUAAAGGCCUACCAAGGCGACGAUCCGUAACUGGUCUGAGAGGAUGAUCAGUCACACUGGAACUGAGACACGGUCCAGACUCCUACGGGAGGCAGCAGUGGGGAAUAUUGGACAAUGGGCGAGAGCCUGAUACAGCCAUGCCGCGUGUGUGAAGAAGGUCUUCGGAUUGUAAAGCACUUUAAGUUGGGAGGAAGGGCAGUAAGUUAAUACCUUACUGUUUUGACGUUACCAACAGAAUAAGCACCGGCUAACUUCGUG
Molecule: ribosomal RNA, 484 nt
Filed under: uncultured bacterium
Lineage: Bacteria
Description: partial 16S ribosomal RNA
Rfam family: Bacterial small subunit ribosomal RNA
Source: RNAcentral